RNAcentral lists this transfer RNA (75 nucleotides) under Sillaginopsis panijus (flathead sillago). RNAcentral's name for it is "tRNA-Pro". It matches the Rfam family "tRNA". Rfam says of the family: Transfer RNA (tRNA) molecules are approximately 80 nucleotides in length. Their secondary structure includes four short double-helical elements and three loops (D, anti-codon, and T loops). Lineage: Eukaryota; Metazoa; Chordata; Actinopteri; Sillaginidae. The record is from RNAcentral.
CAGAAAGUAGUUUAACUAUGGAUAUAAUGUUGGCUUUGGGAGCCAAUGGUGGCGGUUUGACUCCGUCCUUUCUGA